Molecule: ribosomal RNA, 468 nt
Filed under: uncultured bacterium
Lineage: Bacteria
Description: partial 16S ribosomal RNA
Rfam family: Bacterial small subunit ribosomal RNA
Source: RNAcentral
GACGAACGCUGGCGGCGUGCUUAACACAUGCAAGUCGAACGGAAAGGCCCUGCUUUUGCGGGGUGCUCGAGUAGCGAACGGGUGAGUAACAAGUGAGUAACCUGCCCUUGACUUUGGGAUAACUUCAGGAAACUGGGGCUAAUACCGGAUAGGAGCUCCUGCUGCAUGGUGGGGGUUGGAAAGUUUGGGCGGUUGGGGAUGGACUCGCGGCUUAUCAGCUUGUUGGUGGGGUAGUGGCUUACCAAGGCUUUGACGGGUAGCCGGCCUGAGGGGGUGACCGGCCACAUUGGGACUGAGAUACGGCCCAGACUCCUACGGGAGGCAGCAGUGGGGAAUAUUGCACAAUGGGCGGAAGCCUGAGGCAGCAACGCCGCGUGCGGGAUGACGGCCUUCGGGUUGUAAACCGCUUUCGCCUGUGACGAAGCGUGAGUGACGGUAAUGGGUAAAGAAGCACCGGCUAACUACGUG